CAGUAGCCGCGGGAAAACGAAGGGGGCUAGCGUUGUUCGGAAUUACUGGGCGUAAAGCGCACGUAGGCGGAUUUUUAAGUCAGGGGUGAAAUCCCGAGGCUCAACCUCGGAACUGCCUUUGAUACUGGAGAUCUUGAGUUCGGAAGAGGUUGGUGGAACAGCUAGUGUAGAGGUGAAAUUCGUAGAUAUUAGCUAGAACACCAGUGGCGAAGGCGGCCAACUGGUCCGAUACUGACGCUGAGGUGCGAAAGCGUGGGGAGCAAACAGGAUUAGAGACCCGCGUAGUCCCUGUCUCUUAUAC
This 301-nucleotide ribosomal RNA is filed under the name uncultured bacterium. RNAcentral's name for it is "partial 16S ribosomal RNA". It matches the Rfam family "Bacterial small subunit ribosomal RNA", at positions 509 to 807 of the family's 1533-position model. The record is from RNAcentral.